ACGGGAGGCAGCAGUGAGGAAUAUUGGUCAAUGGGCGUAAGCCUGAACCAGCCAAGUCGCGUGAGGGAUGAAGGUUGUAUGGAUCGUAAACCUCUUUUAUAAGGGAAUAAAGUGCGGGACGAGUCCUGUUUUGUAUGUACCUUAUGAAUAAGGAUCGGCUAACUCCGUGCCAGCAGCCGCGGUAAUACGGAGGAUCCGAGCGUUAUCCGGAUUUAUUGGGUUUAAAGGGUGCGUAGGCGGCCUUUUAAGUCAACGGUGAAAGUCUGUGGCUCAACCAUAGAAUUGCCGUUGAAACUGGGGGGCUUGAGUAUGUUUGAGGCAGGCGGAAUGCGUGGUGUAGCGGUGAAAUGCUUAGAUAUCACGCAGAACCCCGAUUGCGAAGGCAGCCUGCCAAGCAAUGACUGACGCUGAUGCACGAAAGCGUGGGGAUCAAACAGGAUUAAAUACCCUGGUAGUCAACGCAGUAAACGAUGAUAACUAGCUGUUUGCGAUAAACUGUAAGCGGCAC
This 508-nucleotide ribosomal RNA is filed under the name uncultured bacterium. RNAcentral's name for it is "bacterial SSU rRNA". It matches the Rfam family "Bacterial small subunit ribosomal RNA", at positions 341 to 849 of the family's 1533-position model. The record is from RNAcentral.